Molecule: ribosomal RNA, 464 nt
Filed under: uncultured Anaerolineaceae bacterium
Lineage: Bacteria; Bacillati; Chloroflexota; Anaerolineae; Anaerolineales; Anaerolineaceae
Description: bacterial SSU rRNA
Rfam family: Bacterial small subunit ribosomal RNA
Source: RNAcentral
CAAAUGAAUUGACGGGACCCGCACAAGCAGCGGAGCGUGUGGUUUAAUUCGAUGCUACACGAAGAACUUACCAGGGUUUGACAUGCAAGUGGUAGGAAUCUGAAAAGUGUCCGACCUUCGGGGAGCUUGCACAGGUGCUGCAUGGCUGUCGUCAGCUCGUGUCGUGAGAUGUUCGGUUAAGUCCGCUAACGAGCGCAACCCUCACUGUGUGUUAUACGUGUCACACGGGACUGCCGGUUUUAAGCCGGAGGAAGGCGGGGAUGACGUCAAGUCAGCAUGGCCUUUAUAUCCUGGGCUACACACACGCUACAAUGGUCUGUACAAUAGGUUGCCAAGCCGCGAGGCGGAGCCAAUCCUUAAAGCAGGCCUCAGUUCAGAUUGUAGGCUGCAACUCGCCUGCAUGAAGAUGGAGUUGCUAGUAACCGCAGGUCAGCAAUACUGCGGUGAAUACGUUCCCGGGUCUU